AUGGAGGCUCUGAAGGAGAUUUUGGUUACCUAUGAGAGAGCUUCGGGGCAAAAAGUUAACUUGGAGAAAUCUUCUAUCUUCUUUGGGAAGGGGUGCCAGGAUGGGGUUAAGUCUGAGUUGAAAAGUGUUUUAGGGAUUCAGUCUGAAGCCCUAAGUGAGAAGUACCUUGGACUCCCAACACUGGUUGGUAGAUCUAAGGAGGGGACUUUUAAGUAUGUAACAGAA
Molecule: ribosomal RNA, 225 nt
Filed under: Triticum aestivum (bread wheat)
Lineage: Eukaryota; Viridiplantae; Streptophyta; Magnoliopsida; Poales; Poaceae
Description: partial small subunit ribosomal RNA
Source: RNAcentral